RNAcentral lists this ribosomal RNA (380 nucleotides) under uncultured eukaryote. Its description in RNAcentral is "partial 18S ribosomal RNA". It matches the Rfam family "Eukaryotic small subunit ribosomal RNA", at positions 592 to 976 of the family's 1831-position model. The record is from RNAcentral.
CAAUAGCGUAUAUUAAAGUUGUUGCGGUUAAAAAGCUCGUAGUUGGAGUUCUGCCAGGUGCCGCCUGUCCGCCCCAGUGGUGAGUACGUGGCGCGCAUUUGGCCCUUUCAAGGGGAGCGUAUCUGCACUUUAUUGUGUGGUGCGGGAUCCUUGACUUUUACUUUGAGGAAAUAGGAGUGUUCCAAGCAGGCUCUCGUCGUGCACAGCUCAGCAUGGAAUAAUAGCAUUGGACCUCGAUUCUAAGCUGUUGGUUGCCAGAAGCGAGGUAAUGAUGAAGAGGGAUAGUUGGGGGCAUUCGUAUUUAACUGUCAGAGGUGAAAUUCUUGGAUUUACGGAAGACGAACAACUGCGAAAGCAUUUGCCAAGGAUGUUUUCAUUAA